RNAcentral lists this ribosomal RNA (484 nucleotides) under uncultured bacterium. RNAcentral describes it as "partial 16S ribosomal RNA". It matches the Rfam family "Bacterial small subunit ribosomal RNA", at positions 30 to 507 of the family's 1533-position model. The record is from RNAcentral.
AUUGAACGCUGGCGGCAGGCCUAACACAUGCAAGUCGAGCGGAUGAAGGGAGCUUGCUCCUGGAUUCAGCGGCGGACGGGUGAGUAAUGCCUAGGAAUCUGCCUGGUAGUGGGGGAUAACGUCCGGAAACGGGCGCUAAUACCGCAUACGUCCUGAGGGAGAAAGUGGGGGAUCUUCGGACCUCACGCUAUCAGAUGAGCCUAGGUCGGAUUAGCUAGUUGGUGGGGUAAAGGCCUACCAAGGCGACGAUCCGUAACUGGUCUGAGAGGAUGAUCAGUCACACUGGAACUGAGACACGGUCCAGACUCCUACGGGAGGCAGCAGUAGGGAAUAUUGGACAAUGGGCGAAAGCCUGAUCCAGCCAUGCCGCGUGUGUGAAGAAGGUCUUCGGAUUGUAAAGCACUUUAAGUUGGGAGGAAGAGAAGUAAGUUAAUACCUUGCUGUUUUGACGUUACCAACAGAAAAAGCACCGGCUAACUUCGUG